UACAGAGGGUGCGAGCGUUAAUCGGAAUUACUGGGCGUAAAGCGCGCGUAGGCGGCUUUGCAAGUCGGGUGUGAAAUCCCCAGGCUUAACCUGGGAACUGCAUUCGAGACUGCAUUGCUAGAGUAUGGGAGAGGGAAGUGGAAUUUCCGGUGUAGCGGUGAAAUGCGUAGAUAUCGGAAGGAACACCAGUGGCGAAGGCGACUUCCUGGCCCGUUACUAACACUGAGGCGCGAAAGCGUGGGGAGCGAACAGG
RNAcentral lists this ribosomal RNA (253 nucleotides) under uncultured prokaryote. RNAcentral's name for it is "partial 16S ribosomal RNA". It matches the Rfam family "Bacterial small subunit ribosomal RNA", at positions 524 to 776 of the family's 1533-position model. The record is from RNAcentral.